This 429-nucleotide ribosomal RNA is filed under the name Bacillota bacterium. Its description in RNAcentral is "Firmicutes bacterium partial 16S ribosomal RNA". It matches the Rfam family "Bacterial small subunit ribosomal RNA", at positions 355 to 776 of the family's 1533-position model. Lineage: Bacteria; Bacillati; Bacillota. The record is from RNAcentral.
UAGGGAAUCUUCGGCAAUGGACGGAAGUCUGACCGAGCAACGCCGCGUGAGUGAAGAAGGUUUUCGGAUCGUAAAGCUCUGUUGUUAGAGAAGAACGGUGGUAGGAGUGGAAAAUCUACCAAGUGACGGUAACUAACCAGAAAGGGACGGCUAACUACGGGCCAGCAGCCGCGGUAAUACGUAGGUCCCGAGCGUUGUCCGGAUUUAUUGGGCGUAAAGCGAGCGCAGGCGGUUCUUUAAGUCUGAAGUUAAAGGCAGUGGCUUAACCAUUGUACGCUUUGGAAACUGGAGGACUUGAGUGCAGAAGGGGAGAGUGGAAUUCCAUGUGUAGCGGUGAAAUGCGUAGAUAUAUGGAGGAACACCGGUGGCGAAAGCGGCUCUCUGGUCUGUAACUGACGCUGAGGCUCGAAAGCGUGGGGAGCAAACAGG